Molecule: ribosomal RNA, 480 nt
Filed under: Rhizobium etli
Lineage: Bacteria; Pseudomonadati; Pseudomonadota; Alphaproteobacteria; Hyphomicrobiales; Rhizobiaceae
Description: bacterial SSU rRNA
Rfam family: Bacterial small subunit ribosomal RNA
Source: RNAcentral
AGGCUUAACACAUGCAAGUCGAGCGCCCCGCAAGGGGAGCGGCAGACGGGUGAGUAACGCGUGGGAACGUACCCUUUACUACGGAAUAACGCAGGGAAACUUGUGCUAAUACCGUAUGUGCCCUUUGGGGGAAAGAUUUAUCGGUAAAGGAUCGGCCCGCGUUGGAUUAGCUAGUUGGUGGGGUAAAGGCCUACCAAGGCGACGAUCCAUAGCUGGUCUGAGAGGAUGAUCAGCCACAUUGGGACUGAGACACGGCCCAAACUCCUACGGGAGGCAGCAGUGGGGAAUAUUGGACAAUGGGCGCAAGCCUGAUCCAGCCAUGCCGCGUGAGUGAUGAAGGCCCUAGGGUUGUAAAGCUCUUUCACCGGAGAAGAUAAUGACGGUAUCCGGAGAAGAAGCCCCGGCUAACUUCGUGCCAGCAGCCGCGGUAAUACGAAGGGGGCUAGCGUUGUUCGGAAUUACUGGGCGUAAAGCGCACGU